RNAcentral lists this ribosomal RNA (253 nucleotides) under uncultured bacterium. RNAcentral's name for it is "partial 16S ribosomal RNA". It matches the Rfam family "Bacterial small subunit ribosomal RNA", at positions 524 to 776 of the family's 1533-position model. The record is from RNAcentral.
CACGUAGGGUGCGAGCGUUGUCCGGAAUUAUUGGGCGUAAAGAGCUCGUAGGCGGUCUGUUGCGUCGGCUGUGAAAACCCGAGGCUCAACCUCGGGCCUGCAGCCGAUACGGGCAGACUAGAGUUCGGCAGGGGAGACUGGAAUUCCUGGUGUAGCGGUGAAAUGCGCAGAUAUCAGGAGGAACACCGGUGGCGAAGGCGGGUCUCUGGGCCGAUACUGACGCUGAGGAGCGAAAGCGUGGGGAGCGAACAGG